Long non-coding RNA from Ostrea edulis (European flat oyster), 3279 nucleotides. RefSeq lists it as uncharacterized. The transcript has 4 exons. The record is from RefSeq and is a predicted model, not a curated record. Lineage: Eukaryota; Metazoa; Mollusca; Bivalvia; Ostreida; Ostreidae.
UACACACAUCUAUUUUGAUUUAAAUCGUAUCAUUGAUUAUUCAUCUAUAACUUAGACUUUUGAAAUAGUUUAUUAUACCCCCCGCAACAAGUUGUGGGGGGGGGGGUAUACUGGAAUCGGGUUGUCCGUCUGUCUGUCCGUCCGUCCGUCUGUUGACGCAAUGGUUUCCGGGCUCUAAAGCAUUAUCCUUUCCACCUACCGUCACCAUAUCAUAUAUAUGGACUACCCAUGGGAUGAAGAUGUUCCCUAUCGAUUUUGGGGUCAAAAGUCACGCGCACUGGACAUCAAAGUAGCAAUAUGGUUUCCAUUUAAAUUCUUUAACGGCUUUUUUCAUCGCAUGGAGAUGCUGUGUUCCUAGAUACCUUUUGGAUCAUAAUAUUGAAGUUUUACCUAUUUCCAACACCCUUUAGGAGAUUGGGGUAAGCGGGGGGUAUUCUUAGUGAGCAUUGCUCACAGUACCUCUUGUUUUAACAGGGUUUUUUUUUUUUUUACAAUAACUAUCGGAAAAGACUAACAAAAUUUAUGUUCCUAUCAUGCAUAAAUCUAAAUAAAUCAUUGAUUUUGCAAAAUCUGAUGACAUCAUAGGAGGGUGGAAUUACUUUAAGUUAUGUUUAGUGCUGUGUGUAUAUAAACUCAUAUAAUUAUAUCUUCCCUCUUGGCUCUUCCAGGGGGAGACAUAUUGUAUUUGUACUUUCUGUCCGUCCUUCCUUCUGUCACAAAAUCUUGUGAACGCUUCUCCACCUAUAUGGCUUAUCAGAUAGACUUGAAACUUUGUACAAUGCUUCAUUGUCAUUUGCAGAUGUGAAUAUUGUUGGGACGGGAGGAUCCAAUUGUUUUCCUAAGAGUUAUAGUGGAUCUAAGAGGGGUGGAAGAUGUAAAAUAGCUUAUGAACUCUUCUCCUCCCAUAUGGCUUAUUGGAUAGACUUGAAACUUUGUACAAUGCUUAAUUGUCAUUUGUAGAUGUGCAUAUUGUCAGAAUGGGAGGAUCCAAAGUUUUUCCUAAAAGAUAUAGUGGAUCUAAAAGGGGUGGGGGAUGUUAAAAUACCUUGUGAACACUUCUCCUAUAUGGCUUAUCUGAUAGACUUGAGAAUUUGUACAAUGCUUCAAUACCAUUUGUAGAUGUGCAAGUUGUAGGGACAGGAGGAUCCAAUUGCUAUCCUUAAAGUUAAAGUGGAUCUGAGGGGUGUAGGGUAUAAAAUAGUUUGUGAACGCUUCUCCUCCUAUAUGGCUUAUCAGAGUUCAUGUCUAUCUUCCUGCCCAUGCUUUCUCCUCCAUACUAUUCAAUACAUUAAGGGGGAUGUUUCCUAUAUUUUACGAAUUAAUUGGUUGAUUGACAACAAACUUGGUACACUUGUACAGCAUAUAUAAGGAGUAGAUGACCCCUAUUGAUUCUUAGGUCACAUGGUCAGUCCACCCUUGACAUAGGAAGGUAUUGUCUACUCAAUAUUUUGAAUUGGUGAUACUACUAUCAAUUAAAUGAGGCACGGGUAUAACCCUUUCAAUGUUGCAACUUGGGGGGCAUAUGUGUUUUAGAAACAUCUCUUGUGUUGUAUUAUAUGAAUUACAGGUUUUAGUGUGCUCAGUUUAGAGAAUAGCAUAAAAGUAUUUGAUAAUUAAAUAUCUUGCAGAUUGGCAGUUUACUCCAUGCACCGACAGGAAUGAUAAACUGUGAUAUUCGUAAAUGGAACUGGGACAUGUUCUAAAUAUACUCAGAUACAGAAUGAUGUGCAGCAAGGCUCGUCAUGGAUUUUACCAAAUACAGAACACUGCAAGGCUUGCAAAAUGAAGACCUCAGUAAUUUUUUUUCUAAAUUAUCCACUAAUGGCAGCUCACUACCUGCCCCUAGUGAUGUUAAAAGAGGCCGUUGUUCUCAUUUGUUCCAAAACAGGAAUGGCAUAUGAGGAGGCCAACAGAAGAUACACCUCCACUGAGUGUGCACUCACAAAACGAAUAAAUUAUUAUUAUUUCUUUUGUUUGUAAUUGUAUAUUGUCAACAAGGUCAAAGGCACUUGAUCCGAUGCCAAACUUUUGCAUUUCUUUUGCUUUGUGGUAAAUUUUCUUCAGCAACAUUAACAUUGUUUAAAUUGUUUUCUUUGGAGAGUAUACAUGUACACAUGGAUCAUUUGUAUAUUAGAAUUAUAGCAUUGUUUAAUUCAACUCAUUCUUAUCAUAGAGAGGUUAAUAUAUACUGCAGGCAACGACUUGUAAAGGGUAUACUGUUUUAACUCACGUGCAAGGCAGUAUUAUGAAACUCUGUAGUUGAUAAGGACAUAUAUCACAUAUCGAUAUGCAUAUUUACAGGAAACUCUGAUGUAUUUUAAAUCUGAACGUUAAUUUAAAAGUGGGGAGAAAUAGCAUUGGAUGAAAAAAGACAUAUGAAGAAAAUUAUUCCAUACGUAAAUACUUUUUAGUUCACCUGAGCUGAAAGCUCAAGUGAGCUUUUCUGAUCGCCUGUUGCUCAUUGUCUGUCCGUGAUUAAACAUUUUAUAUUUUCUCCAGAAGCACUGGGCCAGUAAUAACUAAACUUAGCCAAAAGUAUCCUUGGGUAAAGGGCUUUCGAGUUUGUUCAAAUGAAGGGCCAUGCCCUCUUCAAAGGGGAGAUGACCACAAAAAUAGGGUGGGUCAUUUAAUUUUUUUUUUAUCAAGAACCACUGGACCAGAAGAGCUGAAAUGUACAUGAAAGCUUCCUGACAUAGUACAGAUUCAAGUUUAUUGAAAUCAUGGUCUCUAGGGGUUGUAUGGGGCCACAAUAGAGAAUCAAAGUUUUACAUACAAUUAUUUAGGAAAAAUCUUUUAAUAUGAGCCAAGGUGGCUCAGGUGAGCGAUGUGGCCCAUGGGCCUCUUGUUCAACAUAUAGAAUAAAUAGUUAUGUUGUAUUUCCCAUGGAACAUUGAACCGUUUAAUGCGUUUACCAAUUAAUCACUGAAAGAAAGAUAAAAUUGUUGUUUCAUAUGUUUUAUGAAAACUUAAAGAUGUUUCAUUUCUUUUCAUGAAAGACCCCUUAAUUACCCAGUAAUAUAUAAUCAAUUCUGAACAGAUUAUGUAAAUUUGAUUUAUAUUAAGGAUGUUUGAUCUGAUUACCCAUCAUUAUCAAUCUGUCUAAUAUAGCCAUCAUGUGUUACUAUUGCUACGCAAUCUUGGAGCAUGAGGUAGAAUGCGAGCCAGUUCUUUCAUAAGUACAUGUAUCUGGAAAAUAUUUCAAUGUCAAAGGUUACAACAAUGUGAUAAUGUAAUCAUUGUAUGUCUAAGGUCUUGAUAAUAAAACUGUUAUCUGUUCAA